Molecule: ribosomal RNA, 253 nt
Filed under: uncultured bacterium
Lineage: Bacteria
Description: partial 16S ribosomal RNA
Rfam family: Bacterial small subunit ribosomal RNA
Source: RNAcentral
UACGUAGGCAGCGAGCGUUGUUCGGAGUUACUGGGCGUAAAGGGUGUGUAGGCGGUUCUUUAAGUUUGGUGUGAAAUCUUCCGGCUCAACCGGGAGGGUGCGCCGAAUACUGAGGGACUAGAGUAUGGGAUGGGAAAGUGGAAUUCCUGGUGUAGCGGUGAAAUGCGUAGAUAUCAGGAGGAACACCUGUGGUGUAGACGGCUUUCUGGACCAUAACUGACGCUGAGACACGAAAGCGUGGGUAGCAAACAGG